This 198-nucleotide ribosomal RNA is filed under the name Escherichia coli. RNAcentral describes it as "partial 16S ribosomal RNA". It matches the Rfam family "Bacterial small subunit ribosomal RNA", at positions 1 to 206 of the family's 1533-position model. Lineage: Bacteria; Pseudomonadati; Pseudomonadota; Gammaproteobacteria; Enterobacterales; Enterobacteriaceae. The record is from RNAcentral.
AAAUUGAAGAGUUUGAUCAUGGCUCAGAUUGAACGCUGGCGGCAGGCCUAACACAUGCAAGUCGAACGGUAACAGGAAGAAGCUUGCUUCUUUGCUGACGAGUGGCGGACGGGUGAGUAAUGUCUGGGAAACUGCCUGAUGGAGGGGGAUAACUACUGGAAACGGUAGCUAAUACCGCAUAACGUCGCAAGACCAAAG